GCCUGGGUGACUCAGUCGGUUAAGCACCUGACUUCAGUUCAGGUCAUGACCUCGGGGUUUGUGGGUUCGAACCCCGUGUCAGGCU
RNAcentral lists this transfer RNA (85 nucleotides) under Felis catus (domestic cat). It matches the Rfam family "tRNA". From Rfam's summary of the family: Transfer RNA (tRNA) molecules are approximately 80 nucleotides in length. Their secondary structure includes four short double-helical elements and three loops (D, anti-codon, and T loops). The record is from Rfam by way of RNAcentral. Lineage: Eukaryota; Metazoa; Chordata; Mammalia; Carnivora; Felidae.